AAAACACCCAAGGGCUGUAGCUGCUGAGCUUUAUAACAGCAGCAAGGGAAGGAGUUUUGGUUUUUCCUUUCCUGGUAGUGCUGUAGCUUUGGUCCUUUUCUUACAUCUACCCUAAAAAUUCACUGUGUUAUGGAUGAUGAAACAAAAUAUUUGUGGGUCAGGUCUGUUUUUCCCCCUUCUUCAACACAUCCAACUGUGGGAACCUAGAGAGGAAAUCUUACUUCUGCCUGCCCCUUGUAAGAGUAAGUCCACAGACUCGGCUGUAAUGAGAAUCCUAGUGUGCCAAGAUUUUUUGACAUAACUCUGCCCAGAUAGACGGCAUCUGCUCUGAAGACAUUGCCUUAGAAAUAGCAAACCAUCCUGCUGCUGUUGUGUCCCCAAUGAAGGCUCUUCCAUUUACACUGUGGCACAGAGAUGCAUUCCUGCCUGCCUGGGGUACCUCCAUGCAUGUGACCAUAUCACCACUGGGCCUUUUGACCUUCUGUACUGGAAACUUUCUUUUCGAUCCCAUACAUCCUCAUAGGUUCCUGGGCAGGAUAUUCACAGCAAAGAAAGGAAGUGAAGACAACAUGACACAUCUGCAGCUCACAGCCACCACCGUCACACGAUGUGGAGUAAAGCUGCCAAGGAGAAGAGCCUCUUUCAGUCAUUUUUCAGGCUCCUUUGUUCAUUAGUCACAGUUUUGACAAGCAGCUAACUCUCUUGAAGAUUGUCUCCAUCUCCAUGCUAGAAAGAAAUGACAAAUCACUCAAAGUUUAGGCAACAAGUUGAUCAGAGACUCAGCAGUGAUAAUGCUGCACUUCUUCGUGGUGGUAACAACCCCAGACACCUACCAAAAUAGCUUGUCAGCUCUGCUUCAUUCAAGUAUUCAAACCACCCAACAUACAGGCAGUCAGAUAAUCUGGCAGACGAAUAAAGUGCCUCGAACAUGACUGCCUUUGACAUCAAAGACUGAACUCCCCAUGUCUUCCAAUAUGCAUUUUGUUUGCCUCACCCAGUUGCUAUUCAUGCCACUUGCUGAUUUCCUAUCCCCUUCUCGGCAGUAUUGCACUGACUCAGUAUUGAUGGACUUUGAAACUUUAAGAUAGCAAUCUUUAUAGCCUUUCUAAGUGUUUAUAACUUGGUUUUUAAUGCAUAUACAGAGCCAAAUUUUGGCUAUGUAAGUUCUUGAGUCCCAAAGUCACUUGAGUGAGUAUCCACAUUUAGGAGUUAACAGCUUUCAAAGUGCAUUUGAUAUCCCUUGGAAUCUUUUUUUUUUUUUUUUUUUCCAUUGCUUAUGUCACAUGGUAGAGGGAGAGAGCAGUGGCAUAAAAAGAGAAGGUAAUGUGUAGUAAAAUGGAGAGAGCUAUUAAGUGAUUCUCCUCAAAUAGGAAAGUUUACCUUGGAAAAUUCGCAUACUAAUCGUAGCUCAGGGACACACACUGUUUAUUAAAAUGAAAUCGGUACUGUAGAGCAUGAACUAAAUAAAGAAAUGAUCUUGUGCUCCAGUGACCAGCCAUUAUGCUAUGUAAAUACAUGAUCCCAUAUGUGCAAAGUGUUGUUAACAAAAAUUUGUGUAGUUAUUUUAAAGUAGCAACAUAGAAAGACUUAAAAAAAAAAAAAAAAAAAAAAAAAAAAGACUAAUCAUCUCUUAGCUAAUAAAGAACUUACCUAUUUUUAAUAGAUUCCACUAGCAAGAGACUAGAUGUAUAUAAACUGGUAUCACUGUCAGUACUAGUGUGGGUUUUCUUACCCAUCAACAACUAAAGUUUUUCUACAAAUAACCCUUAACAAUCAGAGUGAAAUCUAGAUUUUGUGUCCUACCAGAAAUUCUGACAUUUCAGUAGUUAUUUUUGCUCUGGAAAUGUAAAAGUGCUUCCUUGCAAUUCAAAGCCAAGGAGGAUCCUGGAUAUUUCUGGAAUAACACUUCCCAACAUUGUUCUGUUGACCACUUUUGUUCUGUUAACCACAUUUCAUUCCCUUAUUCUAUUGUUGAUCGAGAAGCGUAGGGCAGAUGCACUCAAUCUUGCACAAUACACAGUGGACUCUCCCUCCCUGCUCGCAGCGUUUGCAAUUGCCUCGACUCAGAAUCCUCCCACACUGUGACCUCAGCUGACCAAGCGAGCUGUAAUAAUAGCUUUCUUCUUUGAGUGAGUAUUCAUUUUUCAGGAUAAUCAUGACGAUUAAAGCCUACCUGUGUUUUGCGCAGGAAAUAAAAAAUAGCCAGUGUUAUAAAAAUCUGAAGAAUGUUACCAUCAAAGCUACAAUAAGCAAGAAAAAUAAAAUUGCAGGCUCUCAGUCCUGUGUUUCUGUCAUUGCCCCACGGUGGUGCAGUAUCAGUUAAAACACUGGGCUUAUGCACCUUUGUACUUCUCUGGUUUUAAACUGCUUUGGAAUUUUUGAAUGAAAUCUCCAUUCUUUCCACUUAACCUUUUAUAUAUUUGGUGUAUCUCUAAUGCUCUAUUAAUUAAUUCCACCCUUAGAAUAAAAUGCUAAUAUAGCGAAGUGACCAUGGGGUUUUAUCUUUGUGCAACAGUACAA
Long non-coding RNA from Anas platyrhynchos (mallard), 2520 nucleotides. RefSeq lists it as uncharacterized. Lineage: Eukaryota; Metazoa; Chordata; Aves; Anseriformes; Anatidae. The record is from RefSeq and is a predicted model, not a curated record.